GUGAGCGCUACGGUUUUACACAAAUCGGGGAGCCAGUUCCAGAUAAUGUCACAUUAAAAGAUAUCAUGGACACACUGCCUAAAAAGGUUUUCGAAAUUGAUGAUGCAAAAGCGUGGAAAUCAGUUAUAGUAUCUGUUACUUCUUAUGUGUUGGGAAUAUUAAUGAUAGCAAAGGCUCCCUGGUACUUGCUGCCUUUGGCAUGGGCAUGGACUGGCACGGCAGUGACAGGGUUUUUUGUGAUAGGCCAUGAUUGCGCUCACAAAUCGUUUUCGAGGAACAAGUUGUUGGAGGAUAUCGUUGGUACCAUUGCCUUUUUACCGCUUAUAUAUCCUUACGAGUCUUGGCGUUUUAAGCAUGACAAGCAUCAUGCAAAAACAAACAUGUUGUCAGAAGAUACUGCUUGGCAACCGGUUUUAAGAGAAGAAUUUGA
Molecule: unclassified non-coding RNA, 430 nt
Filed under: Hevea brasiliensis (rubber tree)
Lineage: Eukaryota; Viridiplantae; Streptophyta; Magnoliopsida; Malpighiales; Euphorbiaceae
Source: RNAcentral